Molecule: ribosomal RNA, 453 nt
Filed under: Eggerelloides sp.
Lineage: Eukaryota; Foraminifera; Textulariida; Eggerellidae
Description: SSU rRNA
Rfam family: Eukaryotic small subunit ribosomal RNA
Source: RNAcentral
GUGGAGCAUGUGGCUUAAUUUGACUCAACGCGGGAAAUCUUACCGGGUCCGGACACACUGAGGAUUGACAGGCAAUAUUAAAAAUAAUUUAUUAUUUUUAUGUUAAAUAUGCUAGUCCUUUCAUGAUUAUGUGAUAGGUGGUGCAUGGCCGUUCUUAGUUCGUGGAGUGAUCUGUCUGCUUAAUUGCGUUUCACUAAGGGCUUAUAAAUUACGUGUGUUGUAGGUACUUUGACCCCUACGUUGAAAUAUUACGUAGUGCGUGUCUUAGUUUGCUUUUACUCACACAAUUAAGUCCUGAAAGCAACGAACGUGACCGCAACCUCUUGUUGCCUUUAUACCAAAAAAUUUUUUCCGUUCGCGGUUAAAUUUUAUAAAAAGGCUUUUAAACUAGAGGGACCGCUGUAACUUUUUUAAACCAGAGGAAGGUUGCGGCAAUAACAGGUCUGUGAUGCC